RNAcentral lists this ribosomal RNA (426 nucleotides) under uncultured bacterium. RNAcentral's name for it is "bacterial SSU rRNA". It matches the Rfam family "Bacterial small subunit ribosomal RNA", at positions 356 to 773 of the family's 1533-position model. The record is from RNAcentral.
GAGGAAUUUUGCGCAAUGGGGGCAACCCUGACGCAGCAACGCCGCGUGAGUGAUGAAGGCCUUUGGGUCGUAAAACUCUGUCAGCAGGAAAGAAGUUAUAUGUGGUUAAUACCCAUGUAUAUUGACGGUACCUGCAAAGGAAGCACCGGCUAACUCCGUGCCAGCAGCCGCGGUAACACGGAGGGUGCAAGCGUUAUUCGGAAUUAUUGGGCGUAAAGGGCGCGUAGGCGGCCGAACAGGUCAGAUGUGAAAGCCCGGGGCUUAACCCCGGAAGUGCAUUUGAAACCUUUUGGCUUGAGUAUGGGAGAGGAGAGCGGAAUUCCUGGUGUAGAGGUGAAAUUCGUAGAUAUCAGGAGGAACACCGGUGGCGAAGGCGGCUCUCUAGACCAAUACUGACGCUGAGGCGCGAAGGCGUGGGUAGCAAAC